GACGAACGCUGGCGGCGUGCUUUAACACAUGCAAGUCGAACGAAGAGCGAUGGAAGCUUGCUUCUAUCAAUCUUAGUGGCGAACGGGUGAGUAACGCGUAAUCAACCUGCCCUUCAGAGGGGGACAACAGUUGGAAACGACUGCUAAUACCGCAUACGAUCCAAUCUCGGCAUCGGGACUGGAUGAAAGGUGGCCUCUAUUUAUAAGCUAUCACUGAAGGAGGGGAUUGCGUCUGAUUAGCUAGUUGGAGGGGUAACGGCCCACCAAGGCGAUGAUCAGUAGCCGGUCUGAGAGGAUGAACGGCCACAUUGGGACUGAGACACGGCCCAGACUCCUACGGGAGGCAGCAGUGGGGAAUCUUCCGCAAUGGACGAAAGUCUGACGGAGCAACGCCGCGUGAGUGAUGACGGCCUUCGGGUUGUAAAGCUCUGUUAAUCGGGACGAAUGGUUCUUGUGCAAAUUUUCC
RNAcentral lists this ribosomal RNA (466 nucleotides) under Veillonella atypica. RNAcentral's name for it is "bacterial SSU rRNA". It matches the Rfam family "Bacterial small subunit ribosomal RNA", at positions 28 to 473 of the family's 1533-position model. Lineage: Bacteria; Bacillati; Bacillota; Negativicutes; Veillonellales; Veillonellaceae. The record is from RNAcentral.